GAAAUGCGAUAAGUAAUGUGAAUUGCAGAAUUCAGUGAAUCAUCGAAUCUUUGAACGCACAUUGCGCCCGCCAGUAUUCUGGCGGGCAUGCCUGUCCGAGCGUCAUUUCAACCAUCAAGCCCCCGGGCUUGUGUUGGGGACCUGCGGCUGCCCGCAGGCCCUGAAAACCAGUGGCGGGCUCGCUGUCACACCGAGCGUAGUAGCAAUCACCUCGCUCAGGGCGUGCUGCGGAUUCCGGCCGUUAAACAGCCUUACAAAACCCAAGGUUGACCUCGGAUCAGGUAGGAAGACCCGCUGAACUUAAGC
This 306-nucleotide unclassified non-coding RNA is filed under the name plant metagenome. Its description in RNAcentral is "partial contains 5.8S ribosomal RNA, internal transcribed spacer 2, and large subunit ribosomal RNA". The stretch from base 1 to 105 matches the Rfam family "5.8S ribosomal RNA", at positions 50 to 154 of the family's 154-position model. The record is from RNAcentral.